RNAcentral lists this ribosomal RNA (265 nucleotides) under uncultured archaeon. Its description in RNAcentral is "partial 16S ribosomal RNA". It matches the Rfam family "Archaeal small subunit ribosomal RNA", at positions 717 to 982 of the family's 1478-position model. The record is from RNAcentral.
ACACGACUACAUUAGAUACCCCUGUAGUCCUAGCCGUAAACUAUGCUCGCUAGGUGUCAGGGACGGUGCGACCGUUUCUGGUGCCGCAGGGAAGCCGUGAAGCGAGCCACCUGGGAAGUACGGCCGCAAGGCUGAAACUUAAAGGAAUUGGCGGGGGAGCACAACAACGGGUGGAGCUUGCGGUUUAAUUGGAUUCAACGCCGGAAAUCUUACCGGGACCGACAGCAACAUGAAGGCCAAGCUGAAGACUUUGCCGGAUUAGCUG